Molecule: long non-coding RNA, 840 nt
Filed under: Mustela putorius furo (domestic ferret)
Lineage: Eukaryota; Metazoa; Chordata; Mammalia; Carnivora; Mustelidae
Description: lncRNA (ENSMPUG00000026553.1)
Source: RNAcentral
AUGUCCAGAGUGGUGGUCCUCGUGCCUGAUGGCAGUGCCGCUUGGCUCCCAGUGAACGUUUUCCAGCGACGACACCAGCCACGCUUGUUUUCAGUGAUCAGAGAUAAUACGGAAGUGGCUCCCGAUUUGCUAACAUUAAUGACUUCAACAGCACCCAGGACAUUCUCCGAUAGAGGAUUUCUGGCAGUGCUCUGGACAGGAUUGGCAGCCCAAAGAACUGAGGAACCCAGAGGUGGUGACAGUUCUCUCCGGACCGCAGGGCAGUUGAGCAGUCAGGAGAAGGCAUGGUUACUGUCCAGCCGGCCCCAGAGGACCCUGCAGACGGGAGGCUCGGCGCGCAGGGUGGCUGUCCCACGACCGCCUCUCUCUGUCCUCUGCUCUACCCAGGGCUCCUGCUCGGGACUCUCAGCCUGGUUGCCUGUCAUGGCCCAACCGAUGCCAGCCCAGCUGUAGACGGAAGGCUGAGAGCCCCGUGAGCUCUGCCGGGCUCUGCCUGCUGCCUCUCGGAGCUGGACAGCCACCCUCCCGGAUGUCUGAGCCCCAUGUGCAUUGUCAGGUUUCUUAGUGACACAAUUUCCUCUCUUGCCGGGUGUUGGUUUGCAUUUCAACUGAUUUGAGCAAGAGAGGUAUCAGCAGGAGAGCUGCGGUCCUGGCUGGGUUUUCCCUCGAAGGUUGGAUUUGCACAGGACUCACUGACUUCUUUCGAAGAUAGGAAAUCCAGGCUAAAUCCAGUGUAUUUAGAAAUGAGCAGAAGAGGAAGAACCAUAUCGUUGAGCUGAUUGUGUAAGAGCCAGAGUGGCCUUUGGAAGGAAAUUUAGAACAUAUAAUUAUUAAAUGAGA